AUGGGGCGCUCGAAGGCAAUUGAUGAGGCCGAGUGGCAAGAGGUCCUCUCUCUUCGAGAUGAAUUUGGUGCGGUUCAACAGGAAAACGCAACGAUGCGAACUGAUGUGUCAAAAUUACAGGAAGAUGUUCAGUCAAUUAGUUCCAAACAAGGCGAAAUAGCUCUACAAGUUGGAGGAAUUGAAAAAGUUGUGUUAGAUCUGGGGAAACAAUUGUCCACGAUGAGUUCGGUCUUGCAGAAAUUAGUGGCUCCAUCUGGGUCAGGAACUAGAGCAGAGAAACAACCUGAGAAAGACCACCUAGCAGAACUGAACAGUUGA
RNAcentral lists this ribosomal RNA (318 nucleotides) under Triticum aestivum (bread wheat). RNAcentral's name for it is "partial small subunit ribosomal RNA". The record is from RNAcentral. Lineage: Eukaryota; Viridiplantae; Streptophyta; Magnoliopsida; Poales; Poaceae.